RNAcentral lists this ribosomal RNA (492 nucleotides) under uncultured bacterium. Its description in RNAcentral is "partial 16S ribosomal RNA". It matches the Rfam family "Bacterial small subunit ribosomal RNA", at positions 29 to 507 of the family's 1533-position model. The record is from RNAcentral.
AGUGAACGCUGGCGGUAGGCCUAACACAUGCAAGUCGAACGGCAGCACAGUAAGAGCUUGCUCUUACGGGUGGCGAGUGGCGGACGGGUGGGGAAUACAUCGGAUUCUACUUUUUCGUGGGGGAUAACGUAGGGAAACUUACGCUAAUACCGCAUACGACCUACGGGUGAAAGCAGGGGAUCUUCGGACCUUGCGCGAUUGAAUGAGCCGAUGUCGGAUUAGCUAGUUGGCGGGGUAAAGGCCCACCAAGGCGACGAUCCGUAGCUGGUCUGAGAGGAUGAUCAGCCACACUGGAACGGAGACACGGCCCAGACUCCUACGGGAGGCAGCAGUGGUGAAUAGGGGACAAUGGGCGCAAUCCUGAUCCAGCCAUACCGCGUGGGUGAAGAAGGCCGUCGGGUUGUAAAGCCCCUUUGUUGGGAAAGAAAAGCAGCAGGUUAAGACCCCGCUGUUCUGACGGGACCCAAAGAAUAAGCACCGGCUAACUUCGUG